GCAGUCGUAACCAAGUGGUUAAGGCGAUGGACUAGAAAUCCAGAGGUUCGAAACCUGUCGACUGCG
RNAcentral lists this transfer RNA (66 nucleotides) under Ixodes scapularis (black-legged tick). It matches the Rfam family "tRNA". Rfam says of the family: Transfer RNA (tRNA) molecules are approximately 80 nucleotides in length. Lineage: Eukaryota; Metazoa; Arthropoda; Arachnida; Ixodida; Ixodidae. The record is from Rfam by way of RNAcentral.